Mesocricetus auratus (golden hamster) is the source of this 218-nucleotide long non-coding RNA. RefSeq lists it as uncharacterized. The record is from RefSeq and is a predicted model, not a curated record. The transcript is spliced from 2 exons. NCBI's taxonomy places the organism in Eukaryota, Metazoa, Chordata, Mammalia, Rodentia, Cricetidae.
UUGAGUUCCUUUUCUGGUUUCUUUCAGUGACAGACUGUGGAUGUGGAAGCGUGCCAAUGGUGUCUGCUUCGACCAGGAGGAUGAAAGAAGCUGUGCACCUGGCUACAUAUGCCAGGGCUGUGGACGAAAUACGGCCACAUGGUCUAGUGCUACCCAACAGAGCUAAGACGGAGAGAAUGCAUCACGUUGGAGUGAUUCAUAAAACCUUCCCAAAGGAA